CGGGUGAGUAACACGUGGAUAACCUACCUAUAAGACUGGGAUAACUUCGGGAAACCGGAGCUAAUACCGGAUAAUAUUUUGAACCGCAUGGUUCAAAAGUGAAAGACGGUCUUGCUGUCACUUAUAGAUGGAUCCGCGCUGCAUUAGCUAGUUGGUAAGGUAACGGCUUACCAAGGCAACGAUGCAUAGCCGACCUGAGAGGGUGAUCGGCCACACUGGAACUGAGACACGGUCCAGACUCCUACGGGAGGCAGCAGUC
This 259-nucleotide ribosomal RNA is filed under the name uncultured Staphylococcus sp. RNAcentral describes it as "partial 16S ribosomal RNA". It matches the Rfam family "Bacterial small subunit ribosomal RNA", at positions 103 to 355 of the family's 1533-position model. The record is from RNAcentral. Lineage: Bacteria; Bacillati; Bacillota; Bacilli; Caryophanales; Staphylococcaceae.